This 255-nucleotide ribosomal RNA is filed under the name Pseudomonas jessenii. Its description in RNAcentral is "partial 16S ribosomal RNA". It matches the Rfam family "Bacterial small subunit ribosomal RNA", at positions 60 to 317 of the family's 1533-position model. Lineage: Bacteria; Pseudomonadati; Pseudomonadota; Gammaproteobacteria; Pseudomonadales; Pseudomonadaceae. The record is from RNAcentral.
AGUCGAGCGGAUGACAGGAGCUUGCUCCUGAAUUCAGCGGCGGACGGGUGAGUAAUGCCUAGGAAUCUGCCUGGUAGUGGGGGACAACGUUUCGAAAGGAACGCUAAUACCGCAUACGUCCUACGGGAGAAAGCAGGGGACCUUCGGGCCUUGCGCUAUCAGAUGAGCCUAGGUCGGAUUAGCUAGUUGGUGAGGUAAUGGCUCACCAAGGCGACGAUCCGUAACUGGUCUGAGAGGAUGAUCAGUCACACUGGA